Molecule: ribosomal RNA, 1091 nt
Filed under: Vibrio harveyi
Lineage: Bacteria; Pseudomonadati; Pseudomonadota; Gammaproteobacteria; Vibrionales; Vibrionaceae
Description: bacterial SSU rRNA
Rfam family: Bacterial small subunit ribosomal RNA
Source: RNAcentral
GAAAUUGCCCUGAUGUGGGGGAUAACCAUUGGAAACGAUGGCUAAUACCGCAUAAUACCUACGGGUCAAAGAGGGGGACCUUCGGGCCUCUCGCGUCAGGAUAUGCCUAGGUGGGAUUAGCUAGUUGGUGAGGUAAUGGCUCACCAAGGCGACGAUCCCUAGCUGGUCUGAGAGGAUGAUCAGCCACACUGGAACUGAGACACGGUCCAGACUCCUACGGGAGGCAGCAGUGGGGAAUAUUGCACAAUGGGCGCAAGCCUGAUGCAGCCAUGCCGCGUGUGUGAAGAAGGCCUUCGGGUUGUAAAGCACUUUCAGUCGUGAGGAAGGUAGUGUAGUUAAUAGCUGCAUUAUUUGACGUUAGCGACAGAAGAAGCACCGGCUAACUCCGUGCCAGCAGCCGCGGUAAUACGGAGGGUGCGAGCGUUAAUCGGAAUUACUGGGCGUAAAGCGCAUGCAGGUGGUUUGUUAAGUCAGAUGUGAAAGCCCGGGGCUCAACCUCGGAAUAGCAUUUGAAACUGGCAGACUAGAGUACUGUAGAGGGGGGUAGAAUUUCAGGUGUAGCGGUGAAAUGCGUAGAGAUCUGAAGGAAUACCGGUGGCGAAGGCGGCCCCCUGGACAGAUACUGACACUCAGAUGCGAAAGCGUGGGGAGCAAACAGGAUUAGAUACCCUGGUAGUCCACGCCGUAAACGAUGUCUACUUGGAGGUUGUGGCCUUGAGCCGUGGCUUUUCGGAGCUAACGCGUUAAGUAGACCGCCUGGGGGAGUACGGUCGCAAGAUUAAAACUCAAAUGAAAUUGACGGGGGCCCGCACAAGCGGUGGAGCAUGUGGUUUAAUUCGAUGCAACGCGAAGAAACCUUACCUACUCUUGACAUCCAGAGAACUUUUCCAGAGAUGGAUUGGGUGCCUUCGGGGAACUCUGAGACAGGUGCCUGCAUGGGCUGGUCGUCAGCUCCGUGUUGUGAAAUGUUGGGGUUAAAGUCCCGCCAACGAGCGCAACCCUUAUCCUUGUUUGCCAGCACUUCGGGUGGGAACUCCAGGGAGACUGCCGGUGAUAAACCGGAGGAAGGUGGGGACGACGUCAAGUCAUCA